GUGUCAGCCGCCGCGGUAAUACAGAGGGGGCAAGCGUUGUUCGGAAUUACUGGGCGUAAAGGGCGCGUAGGCGGCCGACUAAGUCAGACGUGAAAUCCCAUGGCUCAACCAUGGAACUGCGUCUGAUACUGGACGGCUUGAGUUCGGGAGAGGGAAGUGGAAUUCCAGGUGUAGCGGUGAAAUGCGUAGAUAUCUGGAGGAACACCGGUGGCGAAGGCGGCUUCCUGGACCGACACUGACGCUGAGGCGCGAAAGCCAGGGGAGCAAACGGGAUUAGAUACCCCGGUAGUCCUGGCCCUAAACGAUGAAUGCUUGGUGUGGCGGGUAUCGAUCCCUGCCGUGCCGAAGCUAACGCAUUAAGCAUUCCGCCUGGGGAGUACGGUCGCAAGGCUGAA
Molecule: ribosomal RNA, 395 nt
Filed under: uncultured bacterium
Lineage: Bacteria
Description: bacterial SSU rRNA
Rfam family: Bacterial small subunit ribosomal RNA
Source: RNAcentral